RNAcentral lists this ribosomal RNA (1447 nucleotides) under Klebsiella pneumoniae. Its description in RNAcentral is "bacterial SSU rRNA". It matches the Rfam family "Bacterial small subunit ribosomal RNA". Lineage: Bacteria; Pseudomonadati; Pseudomonadota; Gammaproteobacteria; Enterobacterales; Enterobacteriaceae. The record is from RNAcentral.
UUGGGGGGGGCAGGGCUAAACAUGCAGUCGAGCGGUAGCACAGAGAGCUUGCUCUCGGGUGACGAGCGGCGGACGGGUGAGUAAUGUCUGGGAAACUGCCUGAUGGAGGGGGAUAACUACUGGAAACGGUAGCUAAUACCGCAUAAUGUCGCAAGACCAAAGUGGGGGACCUUCGGGCCUCAUGCCAUCAGAUGUGCCCAGAUGGGAUUAGCUAGUAGGUGGGGUAACGGCUCACCUAGGCGACGAUCCCUAGCUGGUCUGAGAGGAUGACCAGCCACACUGGAACUGAGACACGGUCCAGACUCCUACGGGAGGCAGCAGUGGGGAAUAUUGCACAAUGGGCGCAAGCCUGAUGCAGCCAUGCCGCGUGUGUGAAGAAGGCCUUCGGGUUGUAAAGCACUUUCAGCGGGGAGGAAGGCGUUAAGGUUAAUAACCUUGUCGAUUGACGUUACCCGCAGAAGAAGCACCGGCUAACUCCGUGCCAGCAGCCGCGGUAAUACGGAGGGUGCAAGCGUUAAUCGGAAUUACUGGGCGUAAAGCGCACGCAGGCGGUCUGUCAAGUCGGAUGUGAAAUCCCCGGGCUCAACCUGGGAACUGCAUUCGAAACUGGCAGGCUAGAGUCUUGUAGAGGGGGGUAGAAUUCCAGGUGUAGCGGUGAAAUGCGUAGAGAUCUGGAGGAAUACCGGUGGCGAAGGCGGCCCCCUGGACAAAGACUGACGCUCAGGUGCGAAAGCGUGGGGAGCAAACAGGAUUAGAUACCCUGGUAGUCCACGCCGUAAACGAUGUCGAUUUGGAGGUUGUGCCCUUGAGGCGUGGCUUCCGGAGCUAACGCGUUAAAUCGACCGCCUGGGGAGUACGGCCGCAAGGUUAAAACUCAAAUGAAUUGACGGGGGCCCGCACAAGCGGUGGAGCAUGUGGUUUAAUUCGAUGCAACGCGAAGAACCUUACCUGGUCUUGACAUCCACAGAACUUUCCAGAGAUGGAUUGGUGCCUUCGGGAACUGUGAGACAGGUGCUGCAUGGCUGUCGUCAGCUCGUGUUGUGAAAUGUUGGGUUAAGUCCCGCAACGAGCGCAACCCUUAUCCUUUGUUGCCAGCGGUCCGGCCGGGAACUCAAAGGAGACUGCCAGUGAUAAACUGGAGGAAGGUGGGGAUGACGUCAAGUCAUCAUGGCCCUUACGACCAGGGCUACACACGUGCUACAAUGGCAUAUACAAAGAGAAGCGACCUCGCGAGAGCAAGCGGACCUCAUAAAGUAUGUCGUAGUCCGGAUUGGAGUCUGCAACUCGACUCCAUGAAGUCGGAAUCGCUAGUAAUCGUAGAUCAGAAUGCUACGGUGAAUACGUUCCCGGGCCUUGUACACACCGCCCGUCACACCAUGGGAGUGGGUUGCAAAAGAAGUAGGUAGCUUAACCUUCGGGAGGGCGCUUACCCACUUUGAUUGGGGGU